UACAGAGGUCUCAAGCGUUGUUCGGAUUCAUUGGGCGUAAAGCGCACGUAGGCGGAUUGCUAAGUCAGGGGUGAAAUCCUGGAGCUCAACUCCAGAACUGCCCUUGAUACUGGCGGUCUCGAGUCCGGGAGAGGUGAGUGGAACUGCGAGUGUAGAGGUGAAAUUCGUAGAUAUUCGCAAGAACACCAGUGGCGAAGGCGGCUCACUGGCCCGGUACUGACGCUGAGGUGCGAAAGCGUGGGGAGCAAACAGG
This 253-nucleotide ribosomal RNA is filed under the name uncultured bacterium. Its description in RNAcentral is "partial 16S ribosomal RNA". It matches the Rfam family "Bacterial small subunit ribosomal RNA", at positions 524 to 776 of the family's 1533-position model. The record is from RNAcentral.